GCCACAUCCAGAGGGGUGGAGGGACUUGGCCCUACGAAACCCCGGCAACCAGCGGUCGCGAGAGCGAUCGAGAAGGUGCCAAAUCCAGCGGCUCGCGUAGCCGGGAGAUGUGGG
This 114-nucleotide non-coding RNA is filed under the name Solirubrobacterales bacterium. RNAcentral's name for it is "SAM-I sequence". It matches the Rfam family "SAM riboswitch aptamer (S box leader)". From Rfam's summary of the family: The SAM riboswitch is found upstream of a number of genes which code for proteins involved in methionine or cysteine biosynthesis in Gram-positive bacteria. The SAM riboswitch acts at the level of transcription termination control. The predicted structure consists of a complex stem-loop region followed by a single stem loop terminator region. Lineage: Bacteria; Bacillati; Actinomycetota; Thermoleophilia; Solirubrobacterales. The record is from RNAcentral.